GAGUCACACGGCCGGCAAGUUUGACUCCAGGAAGGCGUGGGGGAUCGACCCAGCCAGCGUUUGUGAGUCGGCGACCAUGUAGUAUGCAUAGGUGAGCUUCAACUCUGCUGGAAAUAAAGUAAGGACUGGAGAGGACGUUUAACUUUAUAAAACUGGAGUGGAAGUAAGCACAAAAGAGCAACCAGCAAACUCCAGAUCCCUCUGCAUCUUUUCUGCCCGUGACAGUGCCAUUCACUUAGAUGAGAGGACUAUUCAUUUCUCUACUCACCAAAUGCUGACAUCCGUUAAGCCUUGUGGAUUUAGCUUUAAAGAUUUUGUGAGAGCUUGCUUUGCUUCCUGACCUCACAGAAAUUACUGGAACCCAUCCGCCCUCCUCUGUCAAGGUGCCCUCUCCUUCCUUGACUACCCUUCAUGGACACCAGAGU
Fukomys damarensis (Damara mole-rat) is the source of this 425-nucleotide long non-coding RNA. RefSeq lists it as uncharacterized. Lineage: Eukaryota; Metazoa; Chordata; Mammalia; Rodentia; Bathyergidae. The transcript has 3 exons. The record is from RefSeq and is a predicted model, not a curated record.